UCGGAGUCUGCAACCCGACUCCGUGAAGCUGGAUUCGCUAGUAAUCGCGCAUCAGCCAUGGCGCGGUGAAUACGUUCCCGGGCCUUGUACACACCGCCCGUCACACCAUGAGAGUUGGGAAUACCCGAAGCCUGUGAGCUAACGUAAGAGGCAGCAGUCGAAGGUAGAAUCAAUGAUUGGGGUGAAGUCGUAACAAGGUAAC
RNAcentral lists this ribosomal RNA (202 nucleotides) under uncultured bacterium. RNAcentral describes it as "partial 16S ribosomal RNA". It matches the Rfam family "Bacterial small subunit ribosomal RNA", at positions 1298 to 1500 of the family's 1533-position model. The record is from RNAcentral.